This is a non-coding RNA of Danio rerio (zebrafish), 391 nucleotides long. The record is from RefSeq and is a predicted model, not a curated record. NCBI's taxonomy places the organism in Eukaryota, Metazoa, Chordata, Actinopteri, Cypriniformes, Danionidae.
UGUGCAGCUGAUUGGCAUUGACAUCGGCCAAUCGGCACGUAGCACCGCCUUUUUAAACCUGAUUGGUCGGUGCUUGGGAUACGUCACGUCCGACUCCGACGCACUGGUUUGGGUGUCUGUAGCCGCGGCUACAGUGCAUCGUGUGGCGGUGGCUUUUCCCUUGGCUGUGGUGGCUGGAUGACUGUUCAGUUGCAGGUAUGUGAUGGCUUUGAACUGGCUGAGUAAUGGGGUUUAGCCGCAUUUUAACCUGCGUGUUUCAUGCUGUACAGCUAUUAAUUCCGGCACCUCGCUGUAUUGUAUCGACCAACGAGUGAUUUAGAACGUGUCUGAGUGUGCGCCCAUUGGAUCCUCCCUUUUCCCCUUUCUUUCUCUUUUACGUCGGAUCUUCCUC